Molecule: ribosomal RNA, 467 nt
Filed under: uncultured bacterium
Lineage: Bacteria
Description: partial 16S ribosomal RNA
Rfam family: Bacterial small subunit ribosomal RNA
Source: RNAcentral
GACGAACGCUGGCGGCGUGCUUAACACAUGCAAGUCGAACGGAAAGGCUCCAGCUUGCUGGAGUACUCGAGUGGCGAACGGGUGAGUAACACGUGGGUAAUCUGCCCUGCACUCUGUGAUAAGCCUGGGAAACUGGGUCUAAUACUGGAUAUGACCUUUCUCCUUAUGGGGUUUGGUGGAAAGUUUUUCGGUGUAGGAUGAGCCCGCGGCCUAUCAGCUUGUUGGUGGGGUGAUGGCCUACCAAGGCGACGACGGGUAGCCGGCCUGAGAGGGUGAUCGGCCACAUUGGGACUGAGAUACGGCCCAGACUCCUACGGGAGGCAGCAGUGGGGAGUAUUGCACAAUGGGCGGAAGCCUGAUGCAGCGACGCCGCGUGAGGGAUGACGGCCUUCGGGUUGUAAACCUCUUUCAGCAGGGACGAAGCGUAAGUGACGGUACCUGCAGAAGAAGCACCGGCUAACUACGUG